AAACCAACAGGGAUUGCCUUAGUAACGGCGAGUGAAGCGGCAAAAGCUCAAAUUUGAAAGCUAGCACCUUCGGUGUUCGCGUUGUAAUUUGAAGAUAGUUUCCUUGAGUAGUCCUUUAUCUAUGUUCCUUGGAACAGGACGUCAUAGAGGGUGAGAACCCCGUAUGAUUUUGGAUACUACUCUUUGUGGGAUUCUAUCGAAGAGUCGAGUUGUUUGGGAAUGCAGCUCUAAGUGGGUGGUAAAUUCCAUCUAAAGCUAAAUAUUGGCGAGAGACCGAUAGCGAACGAGUACAGUGAUGGAAAGAUGAAAAGAACUCUGAAGAGAGAGUGAAAAAGUACGUGAAAUUGCUGAAAGGGAAGGGCUUGAGGUCAGACUUGGUGUUUAAUGAUUAUCAGUUCUUCUUGGACUGUGCACUCGUUUUUCACCGGGCCAAUAUCAGUUUUAGCGGUAGAGUACCCCUUGAAAUGUGGCUUCCUUCGGGGAGUGUUAUAGUCUUGGGGAGAUCUACUUGCUGGGACUGAGGACUGCGCUUCGGCAAGGAUAUUGGCGUAAUGACCUUAAGC
RNAcentral lists this ribosomal RNA (563 nucleotides) under Saccharomycopsis fibuligera. RNAcentral's name for it is "partial large subunit ribosomal RNA". It matches the Rfam family "Eukaryotic large subunit ribosomal RNA", at positions 62 to 645 of the family's 3401-position model. Lineage: Eukaryota; Fungi; Ascomycota; Saccharomycetes; Ascoideales; Saccharomycopsidaceae. The record is from RNAcentral.